This 3695-nucleotide long non-coding RNA is filed under the name Marmota monax (woodchuck). Lineage: Eukaryota; Metazoa; Chordata; Mammalia; Rodentia; Sciuridae. The record is from RNAcentral.
UUUGGGGCAAGUAAGUGGUCAAGUACUUUAAAAAAAAAAAAAAGUCCCUUUGGGACAUUUUAUCCACUUAGGCUCAUUGGGUGGAUCUUCAGGGAUUGAUUUAAGAAUUGGAAUACUAGAUAAACGUGAGAAUGACUUUUAUGUUUUCUUAGUAUUAGUAAGUGUUAAUCUGUAGAACACAACAAACAACUUUAAUAAAAAUACAGCUUAACAUUUUUUAUUGAUGAUUGUCAGAACCCUUGUAUUGGAGGCUUAGUGUAGAGAUUGCUGGUAGGCUCCUUGUCUAGGGCUAAAAAUAUUCCCUCAGUUAAAGGGGACUUGCCCAAGCACAGGUUAGUGCCUUAUGCUCCAUAACCAAUGCUGUAGUCGACUCUGGGUCAGUGGGGGUUGUGGGCUCAAGAAAGGAGGAGAACUUGCGGAGGUAUAAGAACCUGAAAGUAAAGGGGGAAGGAAGAUGAUGAAGUUCUGAGUCAAUCAAGCAUGUAUACUUGUAUACUUAGGCUUCUCAAAAGAGAGGUCUUUACCUGGCUGUGGUGUUCCUAUAGUUGGUACAUAAACCACAGGAACGGUCUGAAUCUUGUUUAGGAAGGCACUGUAAGCUAGAAAAAGGAAAAGGGAGAUGUCACAAAAAGCUUACUUUUUUAUCAAAAAAUAUUUUCACUGGAAGAAGGCCUUAAAGAGUAAAAGUCCACUCUUACCAUGAGAAUAAGUAUUGAUAUAGAAAGAAAUGCUUAAGUCUGCCCUCUGUCCAUGGAUUCAACCAACUGAGAAUCAGAAAUAAUUUGGAAAAAUGUGUAUACUGAACAUGAAGACUUUUUUCCUUAUUAUAACCUGAAUGGCAUAGUAUAAUAACCAUUUAUAGGAUUUGCAUUGUAUUAGUAUAAGUAACUAGAAAUGACUUAAAAUGUGUAGGAGAGAUGUAUAAAUUAUGUCAUUUGUACAAGCAAGGCACAGGAAUAUCUGGAUUUGGGAUGUUAUUUUUUAUUUUUAGUUAUAGAUGGACACAAUACCUUUACUAUUUGUUUACGUGGUGCCGAGGAUCGAAACCAGUGCCACACACACGCUAGGCAAGUGCUGAACCAGUGAGCUACAACCCUGGUCCUGAAAUUGGGAUGUCUUGGCUUCUGGAAGUAAUAUCCCCCCAAAAUACUUGGACACUGUAACUUAAGUAAUACACUUACUGGAAAUUUUAUUUAUCCCAAUUUAAACCAUCUUAAGGUAUUUUCUUUUAAUUUGUCUAAAAGAUGGGAGAUGUGUGUAGCCAGUGGUGAUGGUAUAUUGAAUCCUCCCUAGCCACUGGUUGGAGUAACAGUAGCAGUUGUCUGAAGGCUAAGCAACAGUGGUAUUUCACUUUAGUUGUUUCCACUUUAGUGAUAUAUCAUAGUUUGCCACAUCCAGUAUACCAUUUUGUAGUAGUAAGCUGAAGAUGGCAUUAAGUGAUUGGGCUAGGGAGGCUAACUCGUGUCAACUACUUGUCACAAAUUAGAUGUGAUAAACAGCUAAUUUUCAUCCUCAUUUAGUUUGUGAAAUAAAAUGAAGGCAGUUUCCAAGUCAAAGUCCACGGUGCUGAAUAUAAGGACUCCUUACCUAGAAAGAUGAAAGCUGUUGAUGCCAACACCGCAAAGAGGGUAAAGAGGAGGAUCUGGUAAGAACCAAUGAACUGCUUGAAGACUCCUGAACCUUCACACUGAUCUGUGCAUUGGCCAUAACAAGAUAAUAGUUAGACACAUCCAGGGCAGAUGCUGCAUUGAAGACAGGGUCUUAAAGAGUAUCCAGCAGAAGCACUCAAAACCCAGCCCUUUUAUGAAACUUGAGGUGUGAACUCAUUCCUUCACCUCUUUUUAGCUUCUCAUAUCUCCAAAUAAUAAAAUCUUCAAAUUUAAAUGUUAGUCUUCUCAGGUUUUAAGGGGUGCUUUAAAUCCCUUUGCCACCUUAAAAUGCCUGUAAAACCCAUUCUGUGUAUUUUAACCCCAGGUGCCAUGUUUUCUUUUACUAAAUUUGUGAUAGUCUCUGCUAACCAAAACAUUUCUUCAGAUCACUAGUUACCUCCUAAAUUCAUUGGUCCCUUGUCUUCAGGGUGUCAUUUCUAGGGAAUUCUUCAGACAUGUUUUUGAAGCCAAUUUGGCAUCUGUUUGGUUUUUUCGAAUUCUUCAUUACUUAUAAAUGAACUCCACUCUUGGCCAAACUGCCUGAAUUCCAGGACUUAUGGAUUACUAGGUUUUCAUACCUGGUUGCUAUUCUGCACUCCUAGUAGAGCUCUGCUUCUGAACUCACAAAACAUAACCCAAAACUGUCCUUAACUUCUUAUAAUCUCAUGAACCCAAAGGAGCCACAUCCCAGGCCUUGUAAUUUUUUCAAACAGCUGCUUAAGGCCUCACUUAGUUGCUGAAGCUGACUUUGAAUUUGGGAUCCUCCUGCCUUAGCCUCUUGAAGUGCUGGGAUUACAGGCAUGUGCCACCACACCCAGCUCAUUCACACUAUUUGCAAACUGCUUCCCUCUGAAGAAUUUGAGAUUUAAGGUGUGCAUAGGGAUUGUACACUAAUCUCUGAUCAGAUCCCACUGUUCAAACCUGGCUUUCCGGAGUCCAUAGGAUCAGAAUCCAAAUAAAAUGUGGACAGCAUCAUAUGUACCUGUCCAUUUCUGAUUAUAAUGAUCUAAUGUCUGUCUCCCCAAACCUGGCCCUUUUCUCCACCCAACCCCACUACCAUGGAUUGAACCCAAGAGUCAUGUAAUAGGCAAGUGUUCUACCACCAUCCCUAGUCCCUCCUCCCCUUUUAAAUUUUCAACAAAUAAACAUUUUCAAUAAAUUGCCAAAGCUGGCCUUGAAUUUGGCAAUCCUGCCUCAGCUCUGGAGUUGCUGGGAUUAUAGGAGUGCACCAUCAUACCCUGCUUCUAUCACUAAGCAAUAUUCCCAGCCUUAUUUUUAUUUUUUAUUUUUUUUAAAGAGGGGGGGGAGAGAUAAUUUUUUUUUAAUAUUUAUUUUUCAGUUCUCGGCAAACAACAUCUUUGUAUGUGGUGCUGAGGAUCAAACCCGGGCCGCACGCAUGCCAGGCAAGUGCGCCGCUACCACUUGAGCCACAUCCCCAGCCCCUUAUUUUUUGUUUUGAAAUGGGAUCUCACUAAAUUGCUGAGGCUACACUCAACUGUCAUCCAGGCUGAGCCUCCCAAAUUGCUGGGAUAACAGGUAUGAGCCUCCAUGCCCAACACCCCUUGCUUUUUUUUUUUUUUUUUUUAAUACCAGGGAUUGAACCCAGAGGUGCUGAACUACUGAGCCACAAUCUCAUCCUUUGUUGAGACAGGGCUUUGCUAAAUUGCUUUUGAACUUGGGAUCCUUCUGUCAGCCUCCCAAGUCACUGGAAUUACAGGUGUACACCACCACACCCAGCUCCUUUGCAGUUCUUAUGCAAUUUUUUAUACUUGGGCAGUUUUGGCAGUCUGGCGAAGCCUAUGAAUACCAUCUGAGAGUCCAUAAAAUAAAUAGGAAGGAUACUUAUCAAAGUAAAGUCAGUUAAAGUAGAAAAAAAAAAUUGGUGAUAUGGUUACGUUGUACAAUUGUCAAAAUGUUAAAAAGCCUAGUUGUGCUACAGUAGUGUUAUUAACAGCAGCAACAAAAAUGUAGGUAUAGAUAUGAUUGUAAUGUAAUUUGGAGGUUAAGAAAUGUGAGAUCUGAAAAUAAAUACAUCUCUGGAUGAUA